CACACGACUCUCGGCAACGGAUAUCUCGGCUCUCGCAUCGAUGGAGAACGUAGCGAAAUGCGAUACCUGGUGUGAAUUGCAGAAUCCCGCGAACCAUCGAGUCUUUGAACGCAAGUUGCGCCCGAGACCACUCGGCCGAGGGCACGCCUGCCUGGGCGUCACGC
RNAcentral lists this ribosomal RNA (164 nucleotides) under Elymus alashanicus. RNAcentral's name for it is "5.8S ribosomal RNA". It matches the Rfam family "5.8S ribosomal RNA". Rfam says of the family: 5.8S ribosomal RNA (5.8S rRNA) is a component of the large subunit of the eukaryotic ribosome. It is transcribed by RNA polymerase I as part of the 45S precursor that also contains 18S and 28S rRNA. The record is from RNAcentral. Lineage: Eukaryota; Viridiplantae; Streptophyta; Magnoliopsida; Poales; Poaceae.